UACGGAAGGCAGCAGUGGGGAAUAUUGCACAAUGGGCGCAAGCCUGAUGCAGCCAUGCCGCGUGUAUGAAGAAGGCCUUCGGGUUGUAAAGUACUUUCAGUCGUGAGGAAGGUGUUAAGGUUAAUAACCUUAGCAAUUGACGUUAGCGACAGAAGAAGCACCGGCUAACUCCGUGCCAGCAGCCGCGGUAAUACGGAGGGUGCGAGCGUUAAUCGGAAUUACUGGGCGUAAAGGGCACGCAGGCGGUUAAUUAAGUUGGAUGUGAAAUCCCCGGGCUUAACCUGGAAAUGGCAUUCAAGACUGGUUAGCUAGAGUCUUGUAGAGGGGGUAGAAUUCCAUGUGUAGCGGUGAAAUGCGUAGAGAUGUGGAGGAAUACCGGUGGCGAAGGCGGCCCCUGGGACAAAGGCUGACGCUCAUGUGCGAAAGCGUGGGGAGCAAACAGGGAUUAGAUACC
This 454-nucleotide ribosomal RNA is filed under the name uncultured bacterium. RNAcentral describes it as "bacterial SSU rRNA". It matches the Rfam family "Bacterial small subunit ribosomal RNA", at positions 340 to 786 of the family's 1533-position model. The record is from RNAcentral.